RNAcentral lists this ribosomal RNA (253 nucleotides) under uncultured bacterium. RNAcentral's name for it is "partial 16S ribosomal RNA". It matches the Rfam family "Bacterial small subunit ribosomal RNA", at positions 524 to 776 of the family's 1533-position model. The record is from RNAcentral.
UACAGAGGUCUCGAGCGUUAGGCGGAAUCACUGGGCUUAAAGCGUGUGUAGGCGGAUCGUUAAGUGCCUUGUGAAAUCCCACGGCUCAACCGUGGAACUGCUUGGCAUACUGGCGGUCUUGAGCAACCUAGGGGCGAGCGGAACAAAUGGUGGAGCGGUGAAAUGCGUAGAUAUCAGGAAGAACACCAAUGGCGAAAGCAGCUCUCUGGGACGGUACUGACGCUGAGACGCGAAAGCGUGGGGAGCGAACAGG